GAUGCAAGCGUUAUCCGGAAUCAUUGGGCGUAAAGCGCCUGUAGGUUGUUUAAUAAGUCUGUUGUUAAAGACUAGGGCUCAACCCUAGGAAAGCAAUGGAAACUACUAGACUUGAGUAUGAUAGGGGUAGAGGGAAUUUCUAGUGUAGCGGUGAAAUGCGUAGAUAUUAGGAAGAACACCGGUGGCGAAGGCGCUCUACUGGAUCAUUACUGACACUCAGAGGCGAAAGCUAGGGUAGCAAAAGGGAUUAGAUACCCCUGUAGUCCUAGCCGUAAACGAUGGAUACUAGAUGUUGCGUUUAUUAUGCAGUAUCGUAGCUAACGCGUUAAGUAUCCCGCCUGGGGAGUACGCUCGCAAGGAUGAAACUCAAAGGA
Molecule: ribosomal RNA, 374 nt
Filed under: Phaeocystis globosa
Lineage: Eukaryota; Haptophyta; Phaeocystales; Phaeocystaceae
Description: SSU rRNA
Rfam family: Bacterial small subunit ribosomal RNA
Source: RNAcentral